AGAGUUUGAUCAUGGCUCAGAUUGAACGCUGGCGGCAGGCCUAACACAUGCAAGUCGAACGGUAACAGGAAGCAGCUUGCUGCUUCGCUGACGAGUGGCGGACGGGUGAGUAAUGUCUGGGAAACUGCCUGAUGGAGGGGGAUAACUACUGGAAACGGUGGCUAAUACCGCAUAACGUCGCAAGACCAAAGAGGGGGACCUUCGGGCCUCCUUGCCAUCAGAUGUGCCCAGAUGGGAUUAGCUAGUUGGUGAGGUAACGGCUCACCAAGGCGACGAUCCCUAGCUGGUCUGAGAGGAUGACCAGCCACACUGGAACUGAGACACGGUCCAGACUCCUACGGGAGGCAGCAGUGGGGAAUAUUGCACAAUGGGCGCAAGCCUGAUGCAGCCAUGCCGCGUGUAUGAAGAAGGCCUUCGGGUUGUAAAGUACUUUCAGCGGGGAGGAAGGUGUUGUGGUUAAUAACCGCAGCAAUUGACGUUACCCGCAGAAGAAGCACCGGCUAACUCCGUGCCAGCAGCCGCGGUAAUACGGAGGGUGCAAGCGUUAAUCGGAAUUACUGGGCGUAAAGCGCACGCAGGCGGUCUGUCAAGUCGGAUGUGAAAUCCCCGGGCUCAACCUGGAACUGCAUUCGAAACUGGCAGGCUUGAGUCUUGUAGAGGGGGGUAGAAUUCCAGGUGUAGCGGUGAAAUGCGUAGAGAUCUGGAGGAAUACCGGUGGCGAAGGCGGCCCCCUGGACAAAGACUGACGCUCAGGUGCGAAAGCGUGGGGAGCAAACAGGAUUAGAUACCCUGGUAGUCCACGCCGUAAACGAUGUCUACUUGGAGGUUGUGCCCUUGAGGCGUGGCUUCCGGAGCUAACGCGUUAAGUAGACCGCCUGGGGAGUACGGCCGCAAGGUUAAAACUCAAAUGAAUUGACGGGGGCCCGCAACAAGCGGUGGAGCAUGUGGGUUUAAUUCGAUGCAACGCGAAGAACCUUACCUGGUCUUGACAUCCACAGAACUUUCCAGAGAUGGAUUGGUGCCUUCGGGAACUGUGAGACAGGUGCUGCAUGGCUGUCGUCAGCUCGUGUUGUGAAAUGUUGGGUUAAGUCCCGCAACGAGCGCAACCCUUAUCCUUUGUUGCCAGCGGUUAGGCCGGGAACUCAAAGGAGACUGCCAGUGAUAAACUGGAGGAAGGUGGGGAUGACGUCAAGUCAUCAUGGCCCUUACGACCAGGGCUACACACGUGCUACAAUGGCGCAUACAAAGAGAAGCGACCUCGGCGAGAGCAAGCGGACCUCAUAAAGUGCGUCGUAGUCCGGAUUGGAGUCUGCAACUCGACUCCAUGAAGUCGGAAUCGCUAGUAAUCGUGGAUCAGAAUGCCACGGUGAAUACGUUCCGGGCCUUGUACACACCGCCCCGUCACACCAUGGGAGUGGGUUGCAAAAGAAGUAGGUAGCUUAACCUUCGGGAGGGCGCUUACCACUUUGUGAUUCAUGACUGGGGUGAAGUCGUAACAAGGUAACCGUAGGGGAACCUGCGGUUGGAUCACCU
This 1533-nucleotide ribosomal RNA is filed under the name Salmonella enterica subsp. enterica. RNAcentral describes it as "bacterial SSU rRNA". It matches the Rfam family "Bacterial small subunit ribosomal RNA". The record is from RNAcentral. Lineage: Bacteria; Pseudomonadati; Pseudomonadota; Gammaproteobacteria; Enterobacterales; Enterobacteriaceae.